AGGAUAAGCGACAUCGGGGCAGGUCCUGGGUAGAGUCCAGGUUGGCGGUUCCUGGGGCAGGGCCAGGAUAGGGCGAUCCUGGAAGCUGGGCUUCGGAAGCGUCCAGCUGUUGUUCCCCACCAGAACCAAAUGAGCGCAAGAUCUGACAAAGAAAAAAAAAGGUUCAUCUUUUAUUCCUCCAAACACUUUCAUUUAAAUCAAGAGGAUGGGAUGUGGUUAUUGCUGUGUUUUUAGACAGAAUCAACGGUUUCUGGGUCUGAGAUGUUGCAUACACCUUCUCAGUCCCUGUAUCCUGAGAUGGAGUCACCUGAGAAUCCACAGCAAGUCCUAACCAGGGAUGGGUCUGGGUGAUUAAGGAAGGUUGGCUUCAGAACUGGGCCAGGGGCACUGCUUUGCUUUUGCUGUUUUGAUCAGCUCUCUGCCUGAAGGAGACAAGAAAAACCAACGGGAACAGCCCAGUAAAGGCGCCAUUCCCCAUUUUACAGCUGGGGAAACUGAGUUACAGAGCUUGUCUGCACUGAGUCAUCAGGAGCAAAUGCUAGAUCAGAUAGGGUCUCUCUCUCUGCCACCCAGGCCAGAGUGCAGUUGACGCAGGGCAGGGGAGCCCCGAAGUGGAGCAUAGUGUGUCCGGAACUGGUGGGUUCUUGGUCUCACUGACUUCAAGAAAGAAGCCGCGGACCCUCGCGAGACGGGGUCUUGCUCUGUUGCUCAAGCU
RNAcentral lists this long non-coding RNA (715 nucleotides) under Homo sapiens (human). RNAcentral's name for it is "HSALNT0345296". Lineage: Eukaryota; Metazoa; Chordata; Mammalia; Primates; Hominidae. The record is from RNAcentral.